UACCAGCACCCCGAGUGGUCGGGACGAUUAUUGGGCCUAAAGCAUCCGUAGCCGGCCUUACAAGUCCUCCGUUAAAUCCAGCUGCUUAACAGAUGGGCUGCGGAGGAUACUAUAAGACUAGGAGGCAGGAGAGGCAAGCGGUACUCAGUGGGUAGGGGUAAAAUCCGUUGAUCCAUUGAAGACCACCAGUGGCGAAGGCGGCUUGCCAGAAUGC
Molecule: ribosomal RNA, 214 nt
Filed under: uncultured bacterium
Lineage: Bacteria
Description: partial 16S ribosomal RNA
Rfam family: Archaeal small subunit ribosomal RNA
Source: RNAcentral